This 484-nucleotide ribosomal RNA is filed under the name uncultured bacterium. RNAcentral's name for it is "partial 16S ribosomal RNA". It matches the Rfam family "Bacterial small subunit ribosomal RNA", at positions 30 to 507 of the family's 1533-position model. The record is from RNAcentral.
AUUGAACGCUGGCGGCAGGCCUAACACAUGCAAGUCGAGCGGAUGAAGGGAGCUUGCUCCUGGAUUCAGCGGCGGACGGGUGAGUAAUGCCUAGGAAUCUGCCUGGUAGUGGGGGAUAACGUCCGGAAACGGGCGCUAAUACCGCAUACGUCCUGAGGGAGAAAGUGGGGGAUCUUCGGACCUCACGCUAUCAGAUGAGCCUAGGUCGGAUUAGCUAGUUGGUGGGGUAAAGGCCUACCAAGGCGACGAUCCGUAACUGGUCGGAGAGGAUGAUCAGUCACACUGGAACUGAGACACGGUCCAGACUCCUACGGGAGGCAGCAGUGGGGAAUAUUGGACAGUGGGCGAAAGCCGGAUCCAGCCAUGCCGCGUGUGUGAAGAAGGUCUUCGGAUUGUAAAGCACUUUAAGUUGGGAGGAAGGGCAGUAAGUUAAUACCUUGCUGUUUUGACGUUACCAACAGAAUAAGCACCGGCUAACUUCGUG